RNAcentral lists this ribosomal RNA (636 nucleotides) under Lysinibacillus xylanilyticus. RNAcentral describes it as "bacterial SSU rRNA". It matches the Rfam family "Bacterial small subunit ribosomal RNA", at positions 52 to 671 of the family's 1533-position model. The record is from RNAcentral. Lineage: Bacteria; Bacillati; Bacillota; Bacilli; Caryophanales; Bacillaceae.
UAAUGCAGUCGAGCGAACAGAGAAGGAGCUUGCUCCUUUGACGUUAGCGGCGGACGGGUGAGUAACACGUGGGCAACCUACCUUAUAGUUUGGGAUAACUCCGGGAAACCGGGGCUAAUACCGAAUAAUCUAUUUUACUUCAUGGUGAAAUACUGAAAGACGGUUUCGGCUGUCGCUAUAAGAUGGGCCCGCGGCGCAUUAGCUAGUUGGUGAGGUAACGGCUCACCAAGGCGACGAUGCGUAGCCGACCUGAGAGGGUGAUCGGCCACACUGGGACUGAGACACGGCCCAGACUCCUACGGGAGGCAGCAGUAGGGAAUCUUCCACAAUGGGCGAAAGCCUGAUGGAGCAACGCCGCGUGAGUGAAGAAGGUUUUCGGAUCGUAAAACUCUGUUGUAAGGGAAGAACAAGUACAGUAGUAACUGGCUGUACCUUGACGGUACCUUAUUAGAAAGCCACGGCUAACUACGUGCCAGCAGCCGCGGUAAUACGUAGGUGGCAAGCGUUGUCCGGAAUUAUUGGGCGUAAAGCGCGCGCAGGCGGUCCUUUAAGUCUGAUGUGAAAGCCCACGGCUCAACCGUGGAGGGUCAUUGGAAACUGGGGGACUUGAGUGCAGAAGAGGAAAGUGGAAUUCCA